UCCCCCCCCUCUCUCUCUCUCCCCCUCCCUCCAUAUAUAUAUAAUAUAUGUGAACAAGAAGUUAUUGAAUUGAAUCGAACAUUAAUUUGAAUAAAGUGUCUGAACUCUGAGCGUGUAGCUUUUUACUUUAUAGUGAAUUAAAAGUCCAUAUGUUCUUCAUUUUUCUUACACAUAAACUCUCUCUCUGGACAAGAAAAAAACCACCGACCGUCAAAUCGUCAAUGAUCUUGAAUUUGCCGUCCACACUUCGAUCCCUCCCGUAAAAUACACAUAAGUUACAAAAGGCUUUUCCGAUCCGAGACGAUGUUUGAUUAUUGGUGUCCAGAUUCUUGCGGCACUGGAGCGUGUUUCUGAGAGAGAAAGAUUUGUUCGUGAUCACCCCGUUGCACUUUGUUUCUUUGUUACUCUGCAUUUCUUCCCUAGAUUCACUCCCCUCUCUCAUUCCUUUACAUUAUAUUCACGCACUAAAAACACUUUCAGUUUCACAUUUCAACUUGCGGUUAUAUCCUCCACCAACUGCCCUCCUUUCUUCCCCUCAAUUCUACACUUGUCACAUAUAUAUUGCAUGCCAGCAGUUUUCCCGAUUAAGAUACUUGAAGCCGCAGAAGUUAAUUAUCAUUUGGCAACUAGAGAUCAUAAAUUCUUUGGCCUCCAUACGGGCUCAGAUCAUUUAUUGAUAGAUGAAUUAGCGGCAAAGAGGUUUUAGGUGUUUUGGCGUUCUGCUUUGAUGCAACGGCUCGGAUCAUUUACGGACAGAUGCAUUCUUGAUAGAGGUAAGUCCCAUGUGUUCAAAAUCAUGGGCCAAGGUACUAUCUAUUUAUAUUUCACACAAAAUUAUGUCUUGCACAUAUUUUACCCUCCCAGACCCUGCUCUAAGCGGGAUAUACUGGGUUUGUUUGGUUUGGCUUGGAGUACACCCCAUGAGCAGUUCUGUUUUUCUUUUACUUUUCGGUUCAAAUACCCUUGAAAUGGGACGGUUGCAAGAUCAUAUAGGACAUGUAUUGAGGAAAUUAUAUAGGUCCUGCAAUUUACAAGAAGACGGCAGGUUUGUUUGACUAUUAACAAUUUUGUGGAAUUUUGGAUGCCAUCUCUUCAUGAGUUAUGUUUUAUGAAGAUCAAUGUUUACUUGAGGACCGUAUCAAAAUAUUGCAGUAUUUUGAAUAUGAUAUUUUAAAUUUAAUUAUCGUUAACUUUUGUGAUUUUAAUUUCAACAAUUCACCUUUUUUCUUCAUGACAAAAUUUAGAAUAAAAUUUUAUGAUGAUAACAUAUUUGUUUUACAAAAAUAUUAUUUUUGAACCACACCUCAUGGAGAUUAGGUAAUUAGUUACUCCUAUCAUUUAUGAUCGGUUCCAUUUAGCUAAGAAUAGGAAUUAGGAGGGUGUAAAGACGAAUAUAAUAUGUAACUUAAUAUUUUGACGCAUUAUUCACUUGAGGGUUUUGUAUUUGUAAAAAUUGUCAAUUUUGCAUUGUAAUUAGAUACGUGGUAACAAACAUCAAAAUCGGAGAUCAUUUAAAUUACUGAAUUAGGGUAGUAGUAUCCAUCGGAUGAUUUCUAAUACACUCACACCGCCAUAGGUUCGAAUUCUCCAUAUCCUAUAAAGGAAGCGAAGGAGAUACCGCUACACCAAGAAGUGUCGGGUAGACAUCAGUCACAUCACAAUAGAAUUUUGCACCGACUUGGUUCAGUUUUAUGCAACAUAUCGAUGUCAACAUAUUUAGAUAUGAACCAGAGCAGGAUACAAAAAAAGGAUUCAGUAUCUCCAGAACUCCACUGACUAUAUUUAACUUGUAUAUUUGCAAAGAUAUGAACACUUAUUGCAGGGGUGUACGCGGUUCGGAUCAGAUCGGUUUUAGGAUCAAAGUCGAACCAAACCGUAAAUAGCGGUUUUAGAAAAUCUACAACCACAACCGCAUUUGCGGUUGCGAUUAACCACAUAAUUUCAACCGCGGUUUAGCGAUUAUGCGGAUCGGUUUGCAUCAUUUUAUUCUAGUGUCCCCCAACACCAAACUACAGUAAUUCUUACAUGAUCUUCCCUGCAAAGGGCAAUAAAUAUUAUGGUUAUAGUAAGAGUGAAUAUGUAAGAAUCUAAAGACAUGUUUAUAAUUUUUAUUAGCAUGCAGUACUAGGAUUAAGGUAGCCGAGCACCGGAUUUGAAGGAGUCUUACAAUUUAUAUUAGUUAUUACUCAUUAGUCGGACACUUUACAUUUUAUAUUUCUGAAUGUUAACUCAUUCAGUAAAUUUAUUAAUAUUUGCUAAUUAGGAGCAGAGAAUGUUUAUAAAGACUAAAGAGUAAUGGGGAAAGAAUACAUUUUGUAGUGUUACUGUUACACCAUUCUCCUUUUUGGACAUUCUGUUUUAACUUUCAAGCCAGCUUCCACCUUGUCAAAAGACAUGAUGAAAGAAUUUAGCUCAUGUUGAUUUGCAUAACCUAACUUGAAAGUCCCUCGGACAAAUAUUAGUAGUUUUUAUAGUUUGCGAGAAGAAUGUGUAAAUAUGAAAUCAGUCUCUAUUAAUAUAACUAAACAAAGGUCAAUUAAAACUAAAUAUGAGUCCACACUUCAUUUUCUCUAAUCACUAUCGAUAGUUCCAAACAACUUGUCUAUUUUAAUAAUGGCAUCUAUGCGCAUAUAUAGCAAUGCUGCUUUCAUUUCUCGCAUUCAAUUUUGCCAAGCCAAAUAUCAUUAUCAUAAAAAACGCAAACAUUCGCCUCCAAUAUCCCAAAUUUCUCAGCCUCCAUCUGGUGCACCAGCACCAGGACCAUCUAAUGAACCUCCAAGUAAAAUUGGUGCUGUCGCAGAUGGCAUGACUGAUGACACUGAGGCAUUUAAGACAGCUUGGGACACCGCUUGCCAAUUUGAAUACGGGGUUAUUCUUGUUCCUAAUGGUUACUCUUUUAUGAUUCAGUCCACAAUUUUCACUGGCUUCUGUAAGCUAAGGGCGGUCUAGUUUUCCAGGUUGAUGGCACACUAAUGCCACCAGAUGGACCUGAAUAGCAAACAUCAAUGGCUGGUGUUUUACAGAAUCGACGAGAUGUCUUUGCAAGGUGGUGGUGUGAUUAAUGGAAGAGGAGAAAAAUUCCCUGCAAGCCUCACAGGGGACCUAACAUUGCCAGGACCAUGCGACAGCCCAGUUGAGUAGAUGAAAGUGAAACCAUGAAAGUUUUGCCAGAAGUGGUGGAGCGGAUCCUGAUGGUAAUCAACAUGGUGAUCUUUGGGGCCGUUUGGGUUAGCUUAAAAGAAGUGACUUCUUGCUUAUAGUAAAGAAGUGGAGUAGAAGUGAGAAGUAAAUAAGUUAAUAAAGUGUUUGGAAAAGAAGCAGAAGCUGUGAAAGAGAAGCUAGCAUUCUCAGCUUCUUAAAAGUGCUUCUACUUCUUUGCACAAACGGGUCAAGAGAAGCAGAAGCCAGAAGUAGCUUCUGCUUCUCUUGGCCAAACAGGCCCUUUAUGUUACGUUUAACGUAUUCUCGAUAAUUUCUUGUCUUCAUUGGUGAUAUCUACUUUUCCUCAUAUGCCAUUUGGCCAUUUUUUGUAGUUUAAAUUCUGAUAAACUCUAAUUUUAUUGUGAAUACUCUAGGUCCGAGAAGACCCUAUCUUCAGAAGAGAGGGUCCUGACAUUCAUGUUGUUGCCAUUUUAAGUAUUACUCGGGUAUUUACUAUUCAAUUUUCUUUGUUCGACGUUCUUGCAACCCUGGGCAACACAUGACUUAGUACCUUUACCCUUGUCAAACUAUUGACUAUUUAUGUAUGAAUCGAAGUUCUUACUAGAGUUUUUGUAGGAAAUGAGCUAGUAUGAAUACAUUAUUAUUUGGAUACUUACAAUGAAUAAUGAUCUGAGAAAAAAGAAACAAUUUAGUGAUUCUGCAAAUUAAAGUUGAAUGAAUGUAGCCAAAUGAUUAAAAUGUAUGGUUCCUGAUUUAUGACUCAAAACAAAAAAGUAUAUUUACUGAAAUAGUUGAUAUUAAACUAACGGUGGAUGCUAAAGAGUUGUAUGCAUUUAAGUAUUUGUUUAAUAUUUUGAUCAGUUAAAAAAAUUUGUGCAGAAUAUAUACUGUAUAUUAGAGAAAUGUAGAUAUUAAGAUAUGUAAUACUUGUAAAAGAACCUUUAGAGGCUUUUUUUUUUAAUUAAAACAAAAUAUUUGCAGGUUCCAUGAAUAAAUUUUAUGUCAUUGCUUCCAUGUAGAACCCUAGUUUACUUUAUCAUUCUGGACACAUUUGUAGGAAGAAUAUGAUUGGAUACAGAGAAUCCGAUGCAAAGAUAGCUUUGGAUAAUUAAAAUGAUAACUAAAUAUUUUCAACUUCUAGCCGAUGCAGGUCAAUUGAAGAAACCGAGUGACUGGACUGCUUGGAUUUAUUUAUAAUGUAUAAAUGGAUAUUGGUAAGAAUCCACAUAGAUGCAAAGGAAACAGCAGUAAAUUGGUUUAUAGCAUCUUGCCUCAGUAUUUCAAGCUGCAAGGGCUUUUACCUAGCUCGGUGCUUCAAAGAAUAUAAAUAUGUGGCAUCAUAAAGACUCUGUGAAUUUUGUUUUGAUAUUUUUUUGGAAUUUGACCCAGAGGCAGCGUGAAUUGAUUGAGGAGUUCUCAAAAGAAGAGCAUGGAGAAGAUGAUAAAAGGGAUGAGAAAAGGAAUGCAGCUGGCGCAUCAGGUUAACAAAGCUUUAUAUAAUUCCUCUGCUUCAUUAUAGUACCUAGCCGAAGCAGAAGUAAAAGCAAUUUUUUGGGGAUAUCGGAGGCAAAUAUAUUCCUCACACCCAACAUGGAGAGUUUUGUAGGAGUAAGAUUCAUGCAUUGUAACCUUUUCCUUCUGUUCUGAGAGGUAUGUGUAAUGACUUUUAUUAAUCAAAAGAUAAUUUAUAUAAAUUGCUAG
Daucus carota subsp. sativus is the source of this 4863-nucleotide RNA transcript. It is a transcript of the gene named polygalacturonase At1g48100-like, with no coding region annotated. The transcript has 4 exons. The record is from RefSeq and is a predicted model, not a curated record. NCBI's taxonomy places the organism in Eukaryota, Viridiplantae, Streptophyta, Magnoliopsida, Apiales, Apiaceae.